This is a long non-coding RNA of Homo sapiens (human), 389 nucleotides long. Lineage: Eukaryota; Metazoa; Chordata; Mammalia; Primates; Hominidae. The record is from Ensembl.
CAGGAGGAGGGGCAGGAAAGAAGCCAAAUGUCUCUCACAAUAAGAAAAGCCCAUCAUCUGCAAGAUCAUCCUCAGGCACAGGGCAGGCUGGAUCUCCUCCCAAAUUGCAUGCUCCAUGCCAAAGAGGUCAAGCCACCAAAUGACACUGACUUCCUGCCUUUAAGAGCUUUAUCUCUGCGGACCUGGAGCUGCUGGUCACCAUGGAAACAGAAGCUUUUGUUCACCACUUCCUCUUCUCUUUUUCUCGCUCCCCACCCCUCGUCUUUCCUUCCUCUCCUCACACCCACUUGCCCUCCUCUCUACUUUCUUUCCUCUAUUUUUAUUCCUAAUUUUCUAUCUCACUUGCCCUGAUUUCCUCAUCUAUUUAUUUAAAACUUAUUUAAAUUUUA